GAACUGCGAUAAGUAAUGUGAAUUGCAGAAUUCAGUGAAUCAUCGAGUCUUUGAACGCACAUUGCGCCCCCUGGCAUUCCGGGGGGCAUGCCUGUCCGAGCGUCAUUGCUGCCCUUCAAGCCCGGCUUGUGUGUUGGGUCGUCGUCCCCUCCGGGGGACGGGCCCGAAAGGCAGCGGCGGCACCGCGUCCGGUCCUCGGGCGUAUGGGGCUUUGUCACCCGCUCGAUAAGGACCGGCCGGGCGCCAGCCGGCGUCUCCAACCUUUUUUUCUCAGGUUGACCUCGGAUCAGGUAGGGAUACCCGCUGAACUUAAGC
This 315-nucleotide unclassified non-coding RNA is filed under the name plant metagenome. RNAcentral's name for it is "partial contains 5.8S ribosomal RNA, internal transcribed spacer 2, and large subunit ribosomal RNA". The stretch from base 1 to 105 matches the Rfam family "5.8S ribosomal RNA", at positions 50 to 154 of the family's 154-position model. The record is from RNAcentral.